UACGGAGGGUGCAAGCGUUGUCCGGAUUUAUUGGGUUUAAAGGGUGCGUAGGUGGCUUGUUAAGUCCGGGGUGAAAGCCCACAGCUCAACUGUGGAACUGCCCUGGAUACUGGCGAGCUUGAGUCCAGACGAGGUUGGCGGAAUGGAUGCUGUAGCGGUGAAAUGCAUAGAUAGCAUCCAGAACCCCGAUUGCGUAGGCAGCUGACUAGGCUGGUACUGACACUGAGGCACGAAAGCGUGGGGAGCGAACAGG
RNAcentral lists this ribosomal RNA (253 nucleotides) under uncultured bacterium. RNAcentral describes it as "partial 16S ribosomal RNA". It matches the Rfam family "Bacterial small subunit ribosomal RNA", at positions 524 to 776 of the family's 1533-position model. The record is from RNAcentral. RNAcentral also lists the same sequence under 2 other names.